RNAcentral lists this ribosomal RNA (263 nucleotides) under uncultured bacterium. Its description in RNAcentral is "partial 16S ribosomal RNA". It matches the Rfam family "Bacterial small subunit ribosomal RNA", at positions 793 to 1055 of the family's 1533-position model. The record is from RNAcentral.
GUCCACGCCGUAAACGAUGGGCAUUAGGUGUGGGAGGUGUCGACUCCUCCCGUGCCGGCGCUAACGCAUUAAAUGCCCCGCCUGGGGAGUACGGCCGCAAGGCUAAAACUCAAAGGAAUUGACGGGGGCCCGCACAAGCAGCGGAGCAUGUGGUUUAAUUCGACGCAACGCGAAGAACCUUACCUGGGCUUGACAUGUUGGUGACCGGUGUGGAAACACACCUUUCCUUCGGGACACCAUCACAGGUGGUGCAUGGCUGUCGU